AACCUAGCACACCUGCGGUGUGUACCUGCGGAAGGAUCAUUACCGAGUUUACAACUCCCAAACCCCUGUGAACAUACCACUUGUUGCCUCGGCGGAUCAGCCCGCUCCCGGUAAAACGGGACGGCCCGCCAGAGGACCCCUAAACUCUGUUUCUAUAUGUAACUUCUGAGUAAAACUAUAAAUAAAUCAAAACUUUUAACAAUGGAUCU
Molecule: unclassified non-coding RNA, 209 nt
Filed under: soil metagenome
Description: partial contains 5.8S ribosomal RNA, internal transcribed spacer 2, and large subunit ribosomal RNA
Source: RNAcentral